AUGAAAAUGAUAUGUUGGAACUGCCGACGGUUGGGUCGACCUUGGACAGUCCAAGAGCUUGUGUGUCUCACAAAGACGCAUCGACCCAAUGUUAUCUUUCUUUCUGAAACAAGGCAAAAUAAAGAAUAUGUUGUGAGUUUGCGUUAUCGGUUAUGUAUGAAAAAUGUUUUUACUGUUUCUAUGCCAGGCAAAGGAGGUGGACUAGCGGUCUUUUGGGAUGAUCUGUACACGUUGGAGUUGAACAAAUAUGGAGAACACUUCAUUGACAUGUACAUUUAUAAUGGUGCUGGAAGUAAAUGGAGAAGCACUUUUGUCUAUGGGGAACCAAAGGUAUGUAAUGUGGGAGUUAUUAAGGCGAAUUAA
This 363-nucleotide ribosomal RNA is filed under the name Triticum aestivum (bread wheat). RNAcentral's name for it is "partial small subunit ribosomal RNA". The record is from RNAcentral. Lineage: Eukaryota; Viridiplantae; Streptophyta; Magnoliopsida; Poales; Poaceae.